UGGGGGAUAUUGCACAAUGGGCGAAAGCCUGAUGCAGCGACGCCGCGUGGGGGAUGAAGGCUUUCGGGUUGUAAACCUCUUUCGCUAUCGAACAAGGCCCGCUUAGGGUGGGUUGAGGGUAGGUGGAGAAGAAGCGCCGGCUAACUACGUGCCAGCAGCCGCGGUAAUACGUAGGGCGCGAGCGUUGUCCGGAAUUAUUGGGCGUAAAGGGCUUGUAGGCGGCUUGUUGCGCCUGCUGUGAAAACGCGGGGCUUAACUUCGCGCGUGCAGUGGGUACGGGCAGGCUUGAGUGUGGUAGGGGUGACUGGAAUUCCAGGUGUAGCGGUGGAAUGCGCAGAUAUCUGGAGGAACACCGAUGGCGAAGGCAGGUCUCUGGGCCAUUACUGACGCUGAGGAGCGAAAGCAUGGGUAGCGAACAGG
RNAcentral lists this ribosomal RNA (420 nucleotides) under bacterium. RNAcentral's name for it is "partial 16S ribosomal RNA". It matches the Rfam family "Bacterial small subunit ribosomal RNA", at positions 355 to 776 of the family's 1533-position model. The record is from RNAcentral.